UAGGGAAUCUUCCGCAAUGGACGAAAGUCUGACGGAGCAACGCCGCGUGAGUGAUGAAGGCUUUCGGGUCGUAAAACUCUGUUGUUAGGGAAGAACAAGUACAAGAGUAACUGCUUGUACCUUGACGGUACCUAACCAGAAAGCCACGGCUAACUACGUGCCAGCAGCCGCGGUAAUACGUAGGUGGCAAGCGUUAUCCGGAAUUAUUGGGCGUAAAGCGCGCGCAGGCGGUUUCUUAAGUCUGAUGUGAAAG
Molecule: ribosomal RNA, 253 nt
Filed under: uncultured Bacillus sp.
Lineage: Bacteria; Bacillati; Bacillota; Bacilli; Caryophanales; Bacillaceae
Description: partial 16S ribosomal RNA
Rfam family: Bacterial small subunit ribosomal RNA
Source: RNAcentral